UCACAAAAACUGUUCUCUCUGACUUUAUACCAUCAUCUGAAUCUCCCAUUUAUUUUUGUGUAUGCUUACACCUAUCACAAGCAACAUCAAAUGAUUAAUAAGAUAAAGCAGUUGUACAGAACUUAACACUUAAAAAAAAAUGAAUGGUAUAGAACAAAUAAAACCAACAUUAGAAACCAAAUCAAUUAAUAGAGAAAAAUCAAUACAAUAAACCAAUGAUAAAAUGAUAUUUAAUUUCAAAAACUAAUUCUCACAUCCUAAAUUAAUAAUCAAUACAUAUUUUUUAAAUUAUGGGUUUAAUACUCCUCUUGAUAGCCACCAAGGCAUACCCUGAUCAAAGUUUCAGUAAAUAUUGAAAAGAUAAUCACAAUUUAAGAUAAAUAGACGAGGUAGCUGUUGGAAACACGACCAAUUUCUUUGUUAUAAAAACUGGAAACAAGUCAUCUCUCCUGUUCUGAUUUUUUUCAAAAGAAUGAAACAAGUUAAGCAAUACAAACUCUUGCUUGCUAAUAUAUACACGUUUGGUAUAACAGGAAAUUAAGGGAAAAUAAUCACAAAUCACAUAUCAAUCUUUCAAAAAGGGUAGAUUUAUUUCAAUAAUUUCAAAUCAUGCAUCUUUCUCCUAAGACUGAACCAUUUAUACAAAAGUCAGAUCAAACCACCCCUGUAAUAGAGACAGAAAGAAACAAAUCCACAUAUUUUUUUCAGAAUGUACAAGGAAAUAUAUGGGCUCAGUUGCUACACAACUUGAUUUUCUCAGGAUCUCAAACAUAACAAGCACCAAGCAUGGAUCAAAUUUAUGCCUAUAUUCAAUUCCAUAAAUAAAAGCAAACAACCCCAAAGCAAACAAAUUGGUUUUUCCUAACAUAAUAUCAUCAAUCACCAAAUUUUUCCCAUCUUCUUCCCCAAUUCUCAGAGCACUUUGGUAUCAUCCACAACCUGAAACAAUACAACGCAUCUCACAAACUUGAUCAAUUUCCCCAACUUCCUCACUCAACUCACCUCCAAAAAUCACUUCAAUUAAUGAAAUUUUGAUAAAUCAAGCUGUUCUAAUCCAAAAUCAGACCACUUCCUCAGCACCCUUCUCAACCACUUCCCCGGAACAAUUAUCCCGACCCUAUCUACACAACCAAUUCGCCAACUGCGUGAAUUAUCCAAUUGAUGUCACCCCCGGAACUGCAUUAAUCGAAAACCAAAACAGCCUACUUCAAUGGUCAAAUGUGCCAAAAGAAAACAUUUAUUUGUUAAAUUUUUCAACUCAAUUAAGCCUUCAACAUAAGGACAAAAUGAUUUUAGCAACACAAUGAGGGAAAGAAAGACAUUUCUCGCCAUUUUCAGAGAAGAAAUAUCUUGGAAACCAAAUCAAAAGUUUCAGAGAAAAAAACAAGAGGAGUUGGCAAUAAAGAUCGUCUUACGUGAUUAUGGAUUGAAGGAGAAUCUAAGUUAGGUUUAUUGGGACCGGUUGGUCACUGCCAUUCAAAUUCUUCACUCCGAGACUGCCGAUGACGAUUUUAGGGUUAGGGUUAGGUUUUGCGAAACCGGAAUGAGAGUGAAAUGAUAUUGGGUUGAGUUUUGAAACCGCAUGCACUGAUAAGCCUCUUCUAAGAAAAUAUCAAAAAUGAUAUUGUUUGAAGAUGUGUAUUAUUUGACACAACAGAAAUUAACUGUUAUACAUACUUUGUUCCUCGAGGUUAUGUUUGGUUCAUACUUUGUUCCUCCCGUUAUGUUUGGUUCCGGAAAGUAACAAGGAAAUAAAAAAAAAAAAAUGUAAAGGAAAAUGGUUUUAUCAUGGUUUCACUAUAAUUUUUUUUUAAAUAAAAUAUAAUUAAAAUUAG
RNAcentral lists this long non-coding RNA (1835 nucleotides) under Vitis vinifera (wine grape). Its description in RNAcentral is "long non-coding RNA (VVIN_LNC007679)". Lineage: Eukaryota; Viridiplantae; Streptophyta; Magnoliopsida; Vitales; Vitaceae. The record is from RNAcentral.